UUCGCAAUGCCCGAAAGGGUGACGAAGCGACGCCGCGUGUGGGAAGAAGGCCUUCGGGUUGUAAACCACUGUCGGGAGUUAGGAAAUGCAGGUGCGUUAAUAGCGCACUUGCUUGACUAAGGCUCCAGAGGAAGCCACGGCUAACUCUGUGCCAGCAGCCGCGGUAAUACAGAGGCGGCAAGCGUUGUUCGGAAUUAUUGGGCGUAAAGAGCACGUAGGCGGCCUUGCAAGUCAGUUGUGAAAGCCUUCCGCUUAACGGAAGAACGGCAUCUGAUACUACAGGGCUUGAGUACGGGAGGGGAGAGUGGAACUUCUGGUGGAGCGGUGAAAUGCGUAGAUAUCAGAAGGAACGCCGGCGGCGAAAGCGACUCUCUGGUCCGAAACUGACGCUGAGUGUGCGAAAGCUAGGGGAGCAAACGGGAUUAGAUACCCCGGUAGUCCUAGCCGUAAAC
This 452-nucleotide ribosomal RNA is filed under the name uncultured bacterium. Its description in RNAcentral is "bacterial SSU rRNA". It matches the Rfam family "Bacterial small subunit ribosomal RNA", at positions 365 to 807 of the family's 1533-position model. The record is from RNAcentral.